RNAcentral lists this ribosomal RNA (279 nucleotides) under uncultured bacterium. Its description in RNAcentral is "partial 16S ribosomal RNA". It matches the Rfam family "Bacterial small subunit ribosomal RNA", at positions 506 to 784 of the family's 1533-position model. The record is from RNAcentral.
UGCCAGCAGCCGCGGUAAUACGAAGGGGGCUAGCGUUGUUCGGAAUUACUGGGCGUAAAGGGCGCGUAGGCGGAUUGAUCAGUUUGGUGUGAAAGCCCGGGGCUCAACCUCGGAACUGCAUUAAAUACUGUCAAUCUAGAAUCCCGGAGGGGAGUGUGGAAUUUCUAGUGUAGAGGUGAAAUUCGUAGAUAUUAGAAAGAACACCAGUGGCGAAGGCGACACUCUGGACGGGUAUUGACGCUGAGGCGCGAAAGCGUGGGGAGCAAACAGGAUUAGAUA